Trichobilharzia regenti is the source of this 45-nucleotide non-coding RNA. The record is from Rfam. NCBI's taxonomy places the organism in Eukaryota, Metazoa, Platyhelminthes, Trematoda, Strigeidida, Schistosomatidae.
GUCCAGCUGACGAUUCCCAAACAGGACGGAAUGCACAUCCUGGAU